CCUACGGGCGGCAGCAGUGGGGAAUAUUGGACAAUGGGCGAAAGCCUGAUCCAGCCAUGCCGCGUGUGUGAAGAAGGCCUUCGGGUUGUAAAGCGCUUUCAGUGGGGAAGAAAGCCUUGGGGCUAAUACCCUCGAGGAAGGACAUCACCCACAGAAGAAGCACCGGCUAACUCCGUGCCAGCAGCCGCGGUAAUACGGAGGGGUGCGAGCGUUAAUCGGAAUUACUGGGCGUAAAGCGCGCGUAGGCGGUCUGAUAAGCCGGUUGUGAAAGCCCCGGGCUCAACCUGGGAACGGCAUCCGGAACUGUCAGGCUAGAGUGCAGGAGAGGAAGGUAGAAUUCCCGGUGUAGCGGUGAAAUGCGUAGAGAUCGGGAGGAAUACCAGUGGCGAAGGCGGCCUUCUGGACUGACACUGACGCUGAGGUGCGAAAGCGUGGGUAGCAAACAGGAUUAGAUACCCUGGUAGUC
This 466-nucleotide ribosomal RNA is filed under the name Vreelandella stevensii. RNAcentral's name for it is "partial 16S ribosomal RNA". It matches the Rfam family "Bacterial small subunit ribosomal RNA", at positions 338 to 795 of the family's 1533-position model. The record is from RNAcentral. Lineage: Bacteria; Pseudomonadati; Pseudomonadota; Gammaproteobacteria; Oceanospirillales; Halomonadaceae.